Vulpes vulpes (red fox) is the source of this 101-nucleotide small nuclear RNA. The record is from Ensembl. Lineage: Eukaryota; Metazoa; Chordata; Mammalia; Carnivora; Canidae.
AUACUAGAUUAGAAUACAGCACAUAUAUUAGAAUGAUACAGAGAUUGGCUUGACCCCUGCACUAGAAUGACAUGCAAAUCUGUGAAGCAUCCCAUAUUUAA